This 110-nucleotide ribosomal RNA is filed under the name Morganella morganii. Lineage: Bacteria; Pseudomonadati; Pseudomonadota; Gammaproteobacteria; Enterobacterales; Morganellaceae. The record is from RNAcentral.
UGGCGGCCGUAGCGCGGUGGUCCCACCUGACCCCAUGCCGAACUCAGAAGUGAAACGCCGUAGUGCCGAUGGUAGUGUGGGGUCUCCCCAUGUGAGAGUAGGGAACCGCC